CCUUAGCCCAGAUAGUAGUGGAAAUCCUUUUUUGAGGUUUUUACCGAAAAAAAGAUUACUUCACUAUACUUUUAUUUUCAUUGGAGUUCAGUGAACUUUGUUUGCAACGUAUAGCUGGAUUAGCU
This 125-nucleotide small RNA is filed under the name Flavobacterium xueshanense. RNAcentral describes it as "Flavo-1 RNA". It matches the Rfam family "Flavo-1 RNA". Lineage: Bacteria; Pseudomonadati; Bacteroidota; Flavobacteriia; Flavobacteriales; Flavobacteriaceae. The record is from RNAcentral.